GAUGAAGAACGUAGCGAAAUGCGAUAACUAAUGUGAAUUACAGAAUUCCGUGAAUCAUCGAGUCUUUGAACGCACAUUGCGCCCCCUGGUAUUCCGGGGGGCAUGCCUGUCCGAGCGUCAUUGCUGCCCAUCAAGCACGGCUUGUGUGUUGGGUCCUCGUCCCCCCCGGGGGACGUGCCCGAAAGGCAGCGGCGGCACCGCGUCCGGUCCUCGAGCGUAUGGGGCUUUGUCACCCGCUCUGCAGGCCCGGCCGGCGCUGGCCGACGCGAAAGCAACCAUUUUUUCUCCAGGUUGACCUCGGAUCAGGUAGGGAUACCCGCUGAACUUAAGCAUAUCAAUAAGCGGAGGA
RNAcentral lists this unclassified non-coding RNA (349 nucleotides) under soil metagenome. RNAcentral's name for it is "partial contains 5.8S ribosomal RNA, internal transcribed spacer 2, and large subunit ribosomal RNA". The stretch from base 1 to 120 matches the Rfam family "5.8S ribosomal RNA", at positions 35 to 154 of the family's 154-position model. The record is from RNAcentral.